Molecule: long non-coding RNA, 686 nt
Filed under: Homo sapiens (human)
Lineage: Eukaryota; Metazoa; Chordata; Mammalia; Primates; Hominidae
Description: HSALNT0071922
Source: RNAcentral
AAAAAAGAUUAAAUUCAAAAUGAUCUUGCAAUUCUGCUUCAUGAGAUAGAAUAGAAACAUCUUUGAAUGCCAGGUUUCUCAACGGAGGCUUGUGUAAGCUCUUCUAAAAGUUAAAUAUCUGGUUAUUUACAAAUACAAAGUUAUGUAUAUUCAUUACUGAUUUGUUUCAUACCUUACUUUUUGAAUUGGAAUGAUUCAGAGUAUAAUUCUUACAGAGAGCCCAUCACAUACUAGUCAACGUUCUAAGUUUUUUAUGCAUAUUAGUUCAUUCAGUCCUCACAGCAGCCAUCAUCACUGUGUGAUUCUUGAAGCUCUGGAAAUCUAGGAUUUCUAUAUAGUACACCAACAUACCAGUUUACAUAUAUUAUAGGAAAGGUAAACGAAACAAACAAACAAAAAAACAAAAAACAACAAAAAAACCAAAAACCUGUGUUUUUUCUUUGCUUUAAUUCAAAUUUAUAUUCAUGCCUUUUGGGGAAUAUUCAUUCAAUAAGGGAGCCAUUACAUGGUUUUCUACAUAACAAAACAAACAAGUAAAAAGCAAACACUCAACAAUAAAACUGUACUGUACAGUAAGCAAUACCCGUUUUUGUGAUGCUAGCUAUUUACUAACUUCUUUGGUACAAUUUAGUUUCUGGGAAUAUAUUGCAGUUUUCUUUUUUGGUUCACAAGUAAUGAUCACGUAU